Molecule: ribosomal RNA, 571 nt
Filed under: uncultured bacterium
Lineage: Bacteria
Description: partial 16S ribosomal RNA
Rfam family: Bacterial small subunit ribosomal RNA
Source: RNAcentral
UGGGGAAUUUUGGACAAUGGGGGCAACCCUGAUCCAGCAAUGCCGCGUGUGUGAAGAAGGCCUUCGGGUUGUAAAGCACUUUUGUCCGGAAAGAAAACGUCGUGGUUAAUACCCGUGGCGGCUGACGGUACCGGAAGAAUAAGCACCGGCUAACUACGUGCCAGCAGCCGCGGUAAUACGUAGGGUGCAAGCGUUAAUCGGAAUUACUGGGCGUAAAGCGUGCGCAGGCGGUCCGCUAAGACAGAUGUGAAAUCCCCGGGCUUAACCUGGGAACUGCAUUUGUGACUGGCGGGCUAGAGUAUGGCAGAGGGGGGUAGAAUUCCACGUGUAGCAGUGAAAUGCGUAGAGAUGUGGAGGAAUACCGAUGGCGAAGGCAGCCCCCUGGGCCAAUACUGACGCUCAUGCACGAAAGCGUGGGGGAGCAAACAGGAUUAGAUACCCUGGUAGUCCACGCCCUAAACGAUGUCAACUAGUUGUCGGGUCUUCAUUGACUUGGUACGUAGCUAACGCGUGAAGUUGACCGCCUGGGGAGUACGGUCGCAAGAUUAAAACUCAAAUGAAUUGACGGGGG